UUAAAGUCUAAUCUGCCCUAUGAAGGGUUAAAUGGCCGCGGUAUUUUGACCGUGCAAAGGUAGCAUAAUAAUUAGUUUUUUAAUUGAAAGCUGGAAUGAACGAUUGGACGAGAAAAUAACUGUCUCAAUUUAAUUUUAUUAGAAUUUUAUUUUUAAGUAAAAAAGCUUAAAUUUUAUUGAAAGACGAGAAGACCCUAUAGAGUUUUAUAGUUAAUUUUUUGUUAAUUUUUUAGUUUAUUUUUAUUAAUAAUUGAUUAUUUAUUUUGUUGGGGCGAUAGAAAAAUAUUAGUAACUUUUUUUAAUUUAUUAACAUUAAUUUAUGAUUUUAUGAUCCAUUUAGUAUGAUUAGAAGAUUAAGUUACCUUAGGGAUAACAGCGUAAUUUUUUUUUAGAGUUCUUAUCGAAAAAAGAGAUUGCGACCUCGAUGUUGGAUUAAAAUUUAUGUUAGGUGUAGAAGCUUAAUAAUUAGGUCUGUUCGACCUUUGAAAUUUUACA
Molecule: ribosomal RNA, 495 nt
Filed under: Neoserica sp. LW1110
Lineage: Eukaryota; Metazoa; Arthropoda; Insecta; Coleoptera; Scarabaeidae
Description: partial 16S large subunit ribosomal RNA
Rfam family: Bacterial large subunit ribosomal RNA
Source: RNAcentral